CGAGGCCUUCCGGAAACGGAUGAUGCUGGCAUACCGCUUCCGGCCCAACCCCCUGAACAACCCACGACGACCUUACUACUGAGGAAGGCUUUUCCCACCAGAUUUCCUGGGAAUUCUUAUCCCAAACUUCAUCCAUCUCUUUUUUCCCCAAUAUUAUCCAGCUUUUUUUGGAAUCACAGCUCCUCUUUCCCCCCAUGGAAAAGCUUUCCCAGCUUUUUUUUUUUAUUAUUUUUGGGACACACGAGGAGGAUUUGGAGCAGCCCCAAAAAAUCUCCCCCAAGGGGAUCCCAAUUCCAAGGAAUUUGGGAUUUUUGGGAAUGGCAAAUCUUGUGCUGCUCCAGGAGUGGGGGAGGGUGGGGGAUUUUAUUCCUUGAUUUUAUCUUGGAAUCCCAAAUCCAAGAGAUUUGAAGGAAUUUCGGGGAACCAGUGCCUCCAGUUUUGCCUCUGGAUGAGCGGAUCCGUUGGGAAUUCCAGGAUUUUAUGGAUCCAGGGGGGGAUUUGUUCCCUUCCCAGGGAACCUCCUGUGCUUUGGGAUGAUGAAGACCCAAAAUUCCAAAGCCACACUUUUGGAAAAAUCCAACCAAAAAAAAAAAAAAAAAUUCCAGCACCACGCUUUGGAAAAAUCCAGUUGGAUUUUAUUGUCCUAAAAAGGACAAAAAAAACAAAACAAAAAGACAAAAAACCUCUGGAAAUGCAAAUUUUCUUCACGGAGUUCUGUAAAUAAAAUCAAGUUUGUUUGUUCCUUAGGUUUA
Molecule: non-coding RNA, 752 nt
Organism: Sturnus vulgaris (Common starling)
Lineage: Eukaryota; Metazoa; Chordata; Aves; Passeriformes; Sturnidae
Source: RefSeq, a predicted model, not a curated record